UCAGUUAAGCAAUAUUCCACACCAUUCUUCUCUUCCUCACAUAGACUCAUAAACAUCACAAAAACAAUUAGCUUUCAUGCCCCAAAUAAACAACAAAAUUCACGAAUUAGUUUCUUUUAUAAGUGUUCAGUGACCUACAUAGACAGUUAUAUUAAUUAUUUGAAUAGCAUAAGCAUUACUGACUUACCAUAUAGUUAAUUUGGAGCAAUAAAAAUAAGUUGGUUGGUUAAUUUGUAGAAAUAAUUAAUAUUGUGAAAUUAACUUGCAGAGGAUGAGAAAGAGACCACGCAUUUGGAGGCAAUGGAAGGAGCUAAGAGUCGUCUUCACUUUUUCGAGAUGGAUCUUCUUGACAGCGACUCCAUCGCCGCCGCCAUAAAGGGUUGCGCCGGAGUUUUCCACCUUGCAUGUCCUAACAUCAUUGGUCAAGUCAAAGAUCCUGAGGUUUGAAAACAAUAACUACUUAAAGACACUCUAAUUACAAUACUAAAAAUUUCAGAUGCUCUAGAUAUUUGUCUUCAGUACUUAGGCUCAACUUGUUAGUAUGGAACUAGAUCUUCUCUACCAUUAGACCCUCCAAAAGUGAAGAAAUGAAGAAACAUAUAUUUUUUUAAAAUAAUUAAAAAUUUAUACUAAAAAAAGAUUUUCUUAAUUUUUAAAUUUAUUUUAUUGAAAAAUAAUAUUAUUUUCUAUCACUUAUUGUCACUCAUCUCCAUACAAUACUAAACAGUCCUAGAGAAAAUCUUAAUUCUUACAUAGUUCAUUCAUUUGGCCUAUAUUGGUACCCAUAACUCAUUCUAUAAGGUAAGAAGUAACAAACCAAUGACCAGGAACUAUGUAAUUUUGCUAAUUACACACGGAUAAUUGGUCCAAAAUAUUAAAAAUUGUUUUGUUGAUUACUUGAUAAUGUAGAAGGAGAUUUUGGAACCAGCCAUUAAAGGGACAGUUAAUGUGCUGAAAGCAGCGAAGGAAGCAGGGGUGGAGCGUGUGGUGGCAACAUCAUCAAUCUCCUCCAUAAUGCCAAGUCCUAACUGGCCAGCUGAUAAGAUUAAGGGUGAGGACUGUUGGACCGAUCUUGAAUACUGUAGGGAGAAAGGGGUGAGCACGUGCUUUUGAAACUUUCUGACAAUAAUUGAUGUUUGUGAACGCAAUAACGUUACUUUUUUGUGAAAUAUGAAUGAUGAAUGAUAUACUACUAAUAAUAAAAAAAAUUAAACUUUAUAUAUAAAGGAUUUUUUAUGUUGAUGGGGCAGUUAUAUUAUCCCAUUGCAAAGACUCUUGCGGAGAAAGCAGGUUGGGAUUUUGCAAAGGAGACAGGUUUUGAUGUAGUGAUGAUAAAUCCUGGCACAGCAUUGGGCCCUCUGAUUCCACCAAGAAUAAAUUCCAGCAUGGCUGUGCUUGUUAAGGUUCUCAAAGGUAAUAUAAUAGUUAACUGAGAAAUGAAUGAUUAAUAUAGAAAACAAAAAAAUCUUUUAUAAGUUAGCUAUAUUAAUUAUUUACAUCCAUAUUAGUGUUUAUAACCUAAAUGGGAACAUGGAAGGCAACAUAGAUCUGGUACUCAGAUCUUGUCCUAUAUAUAAUCUCACAUAAAUGAUAAUAAAACAAAAAUAACAAUAAUAACAUAAGUUUGAAUUUUUUAAUUAAUAUAACAUAUUUUUAUUGAGGCAUGAUAAUGUAUGAAAUAUGGUUUAGGAAAACAAAUUUCUAUUAAUAUGAACAGUUCUUGAUUUUUAUAUUCUUUACCAAUUAUCAAAGGUAAAAAAACAUUUUUUUCUCAACAACUCCUUUGUUUUGGACCUUGUUACAGGCGACAAAGAGACCUACGAAGAUUUUUUUAUGGGAACAGCCCACUUUAAAGACAUAGCCUUGGCACAUAUUUUGGCCUAUGAGAAAAAGAAUGCUGCUGGAAGGCACUUGUGUGUUGAAGCAAUUCGUCACUAUGGUGAUCUUGUGGCAAAGGUUGCUGAGUUAUACCCUGAAUAUAAUGUGGCUACGUGAGUAUUCUAUACAAUUGCAUAUAAGCUAAGAGUUCAAUUUGGAAGAAAAAAAUUAAUUAAAUUUCCAUCUAUGUUAAUACAAAGUUUAAUUGAACAAAUAGUAAAAGAGAAAUUAAUGACACGGAACUGCUUGCUAGUUUUUUCUACAUUGGUUAAUCAACUACAAAGUAGAAAGCACUAUGUACCCGAAUAAGAGUAUCAAGCACAAUGCACCCAAAAAUAGUAGAAAGCACUAGACUUUAACAUCAAUUGCUUCAUUUAGUUUGCAAUAAAGCAAUGCUUUUCUAUUACUUGCAUAUAUCGGGGAACACAUUAUCUCAUGAAGUAUGUUACUUCGUGUGAUAAUAUUAUUUGUGAUUCGUUAAAAAAAUAAAAUAUUUUUUUAAUCAAUCACAACCAAUGAUAUAUAGAAUGAUAAAUUUUUUGGGUGAAAAGAUAACCACCCUAUUAGUGACUCUUGAAAAGGGGACUUGUCAGAAGGCCUUUAUUUUAGAAGAGUCACACCCUUCAUAUGGAGGGCUUCUAAAAUGCAUGAAUUUAGACCAAAUUCUAAAGUAAAUUUAUUAAUUGUUUUUACUAUCAUUAUUAGUGUUAUUAUUUGACUUUGUUUACAUAGGUUGCCAAAGGAUACACAACCUGGGUUGUUGAGAGCAAAGGAUCCAUCAAAGAAGCUGAUUGAUUUAGGUCUUGAGUUCACUCCAAUCGAUCAAAUUAUUAAGGAUGCAGUGGAAAGUUUGAAGAGCUUAGGUUAUGUCUAAAAUUCUCAAAUGGGACUGAUUGCACUGUCACAAAUGGUGAUGGUGUUAAUAUUCUUCCACCAUUACUUUAACUCGUAUUUCAUGCCAUUUCUGUUUUUAUUUUUCAAAUUUCAGUAGUGUGUGUGCCUAUGGUUUAAAAUAAGGGUGAACUUGCACUCUAGUCACUGGAAGUAUCAAUAUUCCACAAGAGUCCUUAUAUACUAUUGUGUAAUAAGUAAAAAUGGGAAAAGUGCAUAACCCUCUCUUAAAUUUUAUGUUUUUUUUUGUAAGUAGUUAUUAUAAAUUAUUUUUUCUUUCCAAUUAUUCUUUAGAUUUUAUUAGUUGGUGAAGUUGGUCUAGGUAAAUAUAUUGUUAAAUUAUUAAUAUGUCAACAAAGAAAUUACUAUAAUCACACUUACAAUAAUAGCAAUGCAAUAAUGUAUGUUAGUCAGCAUUGAUAUUCGCCAUUCGCAAGAAAUCAUCAUCAAAAUAUAAAAUUUAUUAAGAAAAAGAUUAUAAGUAAAUUUAAAAGUUAAAAGAAGUUAAUGCAGUAAUAUUAACAUAUAUAUAAAAAUAGUGAUCUACUACUCAAGUUUAAAAUAAAUGUAUAACAAAAAAUUUAGUUCAUAUUAAUUUAAUAUUAUUUUUAUGUAGGAAUCGAUUUCACCAACAGUUAAAAUUUUAAGGAGUAAGUAGGAAGAAAAAACAGUUCAUAAUAACUUCUUUCAAAAAAACAUUAAAAGUUAUAGUAUUCUUAUAGAGUUUUCUGGAUUAAAAUUGAGUGCUUUAAUCUUCACAAAUGGAAAACACUUCUCAAUUUGUUAACCAUAAGCAACUCCUUCAAAUAUUUUUUAUAUUGUUCCGAGUAGUACAUGUUUUGAUGCAUAAAUUGGUAAGGAUAUAAGUUCAUAAACCACAAUACAAUGGCACAUUUGCAUCCAUUUGCGGCAUAGUCAAACAUUACUAACAUUUCAGAAGUUCAUUUCUUUCUAUUAGUUUGCUUAGCGACAUGAUUUUAUAUGGAAAAAUAAAUAUUGAAUAAGAAACAAACUUGGCAAUUCUUUUUUGUAUUUAUGACAUCCUUUUUUUAGUCUUCUAUCAUUGUAUUACCGUAGACGAAUACGAAAAACUUGUAAGAAGAAUUAAUUAAAUUAAAAGAGCAUAUUUAAUAUAAGUUACUAUUUUUACUAUACACAUCUUAGGAGUGCUGAUGGUAUUGAGUUCUUAAUAAUGAUUUUUUUAGUUUCAAAAGGAAUCAUGCAUGAAAGAACUUUGUAGAAACCCUUCAUGAAAUGGAAUAGUAGAUAGAUAACAUAUUCUUAAUGUAGUCAAAGUCAUCUUCUUUUAGUUUGACUCACCUUCUAAACUUUGGAAUUUUAUCAUAUAAAAUUAUCAAUAAUUACAAAUGAAUUUAUAAGGUUGAAUAUCAUGUUGAUGACACAUUAAAAAGCUACAAGGUUAGACUUAUUGCUAUAUAUACAAUUACAUGAAAUGAAUGAUUAAUAUAGAAAACAAAAAAAUCUUUUAUAAGUUAGCUAUAUUAAUUAUUUACAUCCAUAUUAGUGUUUAUAACCUAAAUGGGAACAUGGAAGGCAACAUAGAUCUGGUACUCAGAUCUUGUCCUAUAUAUAAUCUCACAUAAAUGAUAAUAAAACAAAAAUAACAAUAAUAACAUAAGUUUGAAUUUUUUAAUUAAUAUAACAUAUUUUUAUUGAGGCAUGAUAAUGUAUGAAAUAUGGUUUAGGAAAACAAAUUUCUAUUAAUAUGAACAGUUCUUGAUUUUUAUAUUCUUUACCAAUUAUCAAAGGUAAAAAAACAUUUUUUUCUCAACAACUCCUUUGUUUUGGACCUUGUUACAGGCGACAAAGAGACCUACGAAGAUUUUUUUAUGGGAACAGCCCACUUUAAAGACAUAGCCUUGGCACAUAUUUUGGCCUAUGAGAAAAAGAAUGCUGCUGGAAGGCACUUGUGUGUUGAAGCAAUUCGUCACUAUGGUGAUCUUGUGGCAAAGGUUGCUGAGUUAUACCCUGAAUAUAAUGUGGCUACGUGAGUAUUCUAUACAAUUGCAUAUAAGCUAAGAGUUCAAUUUGGAAGAAAAAAAUUAAUUAAAUUUCCAUCUAUGUUAAUACAAAGUUUAAUUGAACAAAUAGUAAAAGAGAAAUUAAUGACACGGAACUGCUUGCUAGUUUUUUCUACAUUGGUUAAUCAACUACAAAGUAGAAAGCACUAUGUACCCGAAUAAGAGUAUCAAGCACAAUGCACCCAAAAAUAGUAGAAAGCACUAGACUUUAACAUCAAUUGCUUCAUUUAGUUUGCAAUAAAGCAAUGCUUUUCUAUUACUUGCAUAUAUCGGGGAACACAUUAUCUCAUGAAGUAUGUUACUUCGUGUGAUAAUAUUAUUUGUGAUUCGUUAAAAAAAUAAAAUAUUUUUUUAAUCAAUCACAACCAAUGAUAUAUAGAAUGAUAAAUUUUUUGGGUGAAAAGAUAACCACCCUAUUAGUGACUCUUGAAAAGGGGACUUGUCAGAAGGCCUUUAUUUUAGAAGAGUCACACCCUUCAUAUGGAGGGCUUCUAAAAUGCAUGAAUUUAGACCAAAUUCUAAAGUAAAUUUAUUAAUUGUUUUUACUAUCAUUAUUAGUGUUAUUAUUUGACUUUGUUUACAUAGGUUGCCAAAGGAUACACAACCUGGGUUGUUGAGAGCAAAGGAUCCAUCAAAGAAGCUGAUUGAUUUAGGUCUUGAGUUCACUCCGAUCGAUGAAAUUAUUAAGGAUGCAGUGGAAAGUUUGAAGAGCUUAGGUUAUGUCUAAAAUUCUCAAAUGGGACUGAUUGCACUGUCACAAAUGGUGAUGGUGUUAAUAUUCUUCCACCAUUACUUUAACUCGUAUUUCAUGCCAUUUCUGUUUUUAUUUUUCAAAUUUCAGUAGUGUGUGUGCCUAUGGUCUAAAAUAAGGAUGAACUUGCAAUCUAGUCAUUGUAAGUUUGUAACUAUCAAUAUUCGACAAGAGUCCUUAUGUAUGAACUCUUGUGUAAAUAAAAUGAGUGGUUUAAUCUUCACAAAUUGUCAAUACUUCUCAAUUUGUUCACCAUAAGCAGUUGCUUCAAAUAUUUUUUAUAUUGUUCCCAAUAGUAAAUGUUUUGAAGGAAAAAUUGGUAAGGAUACGAAGUUCAUAAACCACAAUACAAUGACAAUUUAUAUCCAGUUUCGGCGUAGUUAAACUUUACUAACAUUUCACUAUUUAAGAAAUUCAUUUCUAUCUACAAGUUUGUUUGCCAACAUGAUUUUAUAGGGAAAAUAUAUUGAAUAAUAAACAAACUUGGCAAUUCUUUUUCAUACAAAGACUUGUAUUUUUUUAUUUUCUAUAAUAGUAUUAUCCUAACAAGAAUACGAAAAACUUGUAAAAUAAAUUAAAAGAUCAUAUUUAAUAUAAUGUUUACUAUUUUUAUUAUACACGCCUUAGGAGUGCUAAUGGUAUUGAGUUCGUAGAGAUGAUUUCUUAGCUUGAAAAUGAAUUAUUAAUCAAAGAACUUAUAUAGAAACCUCUAGAUAAAAUGGAAUUACAGAAAUAAGUUAUUACAUUCUAAACAUAGUGAAAGUCAUUUUCUUUUAAUCUCACUCACCUUCUACACUUGAGAAUUUUAUCAUACAACACGCAAAGUCGCAAACUACAUUAUUAAUGGACAACUUACUCCUCUUAAUUAAAAUAAUUGCCAUUGCACAUCAUUGUAUCACAAGUUACCAAAUGUUAAAAGCUUUAAAGCCUUUAGUUGUUUAAGCUUUGCUAUUCCUAUUCCUAUUCAAUCAUAUAUAAAUCUAGGAAAUCAGUUCUCUUGGUUAUAGAGAACUAUCAAAAGACUACAUUUUUUAUAAUCUCUAAUCAUAUGAAAUAUUCAUUUCUAGAAAUGUAUUUUUUAAAAUUUAUUUCCCUUUCAAUAUAUGAAUCUCAUGAUAGUUCUCCUGUAAUAUCACCACCAAUCUUACCCUCCUCGUCUUCUACAUCGUCUUCACUUCCUUCCCCUCCACCUUUCCCUCUCACACAAUUUCUUGGAACAAGAAAACCACCUUUUAUUCUUCAAUAUUAUCAUUGUAACCUUGUUGAAGCCAUUUAUAAUUCCACUUAUUCAUCUUCAUAUACCAAUCAUCAUCUGCCCUCGAUAAUCAAUUAUUCUAAUUGCUUUGUUUGAUACGAUAUUUGUGUGCCUACAUGUUACUUUUGUUAAAGAACCUUCAUCAUAAACAAACUUCAAAGCUUCCCUAUUGGUAAGAUGUCAUGAAUACUGAAUUGCAAACCCUUGAACAAAAUCAAACAUGGUUUCCAAUAUGCCUUCCUCCAUGAAAAUUUCCUAUUGGUUACAAAUGAGUUUAUAAGGUUAACAAUCAUGUCGAUGACAUAUUAGAAAGAUACAAGACUAGGUUUGUUGCCAAGGUAUGCACUCAAAUGAAAGGGUAGACUAUUUUGAUAUACUCUCACCUAUUGCAAAAAUCACCACUAUUAGAGUUGUCAUUGCCUUAACUGGUGCUAAAUCAUUGUUUCGAGAAUAAUUGAAUGUUUACAAUGCCUUCUUACAUUAAGAAUUACAUGAAAAGGUCUACAUGACUCCUCCACAUGAAUUAUUACCUUCCAAUUCUCAAUAAGUGUGCAAACCAUAUAAAUUAUUGUAUGGUCUUAAGAAAGCAAGUCGAUAAUGACAUGCUAUUUUAUCAUCUACACUUUUAUAUUUAGGAUAUACAUAUUAUGUUCCUGAUCAGACCCUUUUUACAAAAUCUAAUCAUGUUGGAACUUGGUUGUAGGUGUGAAAUCUAAAAUAUUUUCAAGUCCCACAUGGAAGAGUUUUGAAGAAAAUAACUCCCAAGUCCCACAUUGGAGAGAUGAGGAACUUGAAAAAAUCCCAAGUUAUAAAUAGAAGCCUACUCCCUUCAUAUUUUCUUGCCCCAAGUUAAAUGUGCUUUCAUUCAAUUUUUUUUUCUCCCUCAUAUUUUUUGCUGAUGCAUUUCCGGCAAACUUCUCCCCCUUUCGUUCCGUGACACUAAGAAAUGGCACAAGCAGCCAUAUUGUGAGAAUUUUGAGAUCUGACACUGAUAGUCAGUAUUGGGGGAAAUGAAUUAGCACAGACAACCAUAUUGUGAGAAUUUCGAAAAUUGAUACUAGUAGUCAGUAUUGGGAGAAAAGAAUUGGCGCGGGUAGCCAUAUUGUGGGCAUUUUGAGAAUUGACAUUGGUAGUCAGUAUUGUGGGAAAAGAAUUGGCACAGGUAGCCAUAUUGUGGGUAUUUUGAGAAUUGGCACUAGUAGCCAUAUUGUGGGUAUUCUGAGCUAUUUUAUCCUAGGGACGGCGUGGUUGAUAGUCUGCUUGCACAUUUUUGGCAGUGCCAUGAAACAUCUUAAAGAGAGCGACCUGGUCGUGACUCAGUCACUAAGUAUUAUUUCGUACCAUUUAUAAUUGUUGCAAGCUACGAUAACAACAAUUUUAAGACGUUUCUACUACAAUGACAGUCGUAGAUAAUAUUAUUGGACCGAAUAGCUAUGACCUGAACAAACUCUUUCGAUUUGAUGGGACAAAUUUCAAACGUUAACAACAUAAGAUGAAAAUUUUCCUUACUAUGAGAAAAGUUGCACACAUUUUGAAAAUCAAUGUCCUAAUGUUGUUGGAGAAAGCUGGAAAAAAAGGAAAAGGAUAAACUAGCUAUUAAUAUAGCUCUCUAGAAUGAAAAUGAUUACUUUUACGAAUUUCAUUCUGAAUGAGUUGUCAGAUGAUCUUUAUUAUUACUACAACCCAUAUAUAUCUUCCAAAUUAAUUUGGUAUACACUUGAGAAAUAAAGAAAUAUGAUACCGAUGAAGUUAAGAUAAAAAUAUAUAUGAUGUUACCACUACCUCAAGUAUCAUAUGAGUGAUGAUAAAUCAGUAGAGUCUCAGUCCAAUGAGAUAAAAAGAAUUGCUCAUGAAAUUAUUUAUGAAGGUAUGCCCCUAGAGUUUUAAACUUGCAAGUAAAGCCUAUGAAUGUGUAUUCCUUGGGUAUGAUGUAAACAAUAUUGCGUAUAAGUAUUAUGACCUUAAUGCAAAAAUGAUCAUUGAGUCUAACAAUACAAACUUUAAUGAGAAGAAAUUCCUUUUUAAAUUGAGGAAUAGUGGGGACACUUCAACUAGUCACAUAUUUGUGAUUAUAGAUAAUGAUAAAAAAUAGAAAAGUUUGAAAUAGAACCUAGAAGAAGUAAGAGAACAAGAACAACAAGAGAGUAUAAACCUGAUUAUAUGGUCUAUUUAUUGGAGUAGAAUCUAUCAACUCUCCAAGAAGUUUUGACUUCUUUGGAUGUUGAUUUGUGGCGAGAAGCCAUAAAUGAUGAGAUGGACUAUCCAGAGUCUAAUAAAAAACAAACUAUUUUGGCUCAAUCUACUAUGGAAGUUGAGAUGAUAGCACUAGCAACAACUAGUGAAGAAACAAGUUGUCUGAAAAGCUUUCUUGUAGAGAUUCCCCUAUAAGAAAACUGAUGUCAGCUAUGUUGAUCCAUUGUGAUAAUAUCGUGACUAUUGCAAAAGUGAGAACCGCUUUUAUAACGGUAAGAAUUGGCAAAUUCGUCGUAAGCACAACACUAUUAGAGAGUUACCCUCUACAUAAGUUGUUAGAGUGGAUCAUGUACACAUUGAGAAUAACUUAGCAGAUCCUUUGACGAAAUGACUAACUAGAGAGAAAGUCCACAAUACUUCUAAGAGUAUGGGACUAUUGCCCCUAGAAUGAGGAUCACUCAUGAUGGUAACCCGACCUAACUGACUGGAGAUCCUAAGAAAUAGGUUCAAUGGGUAAUAACAAGUUGUGAAUUGAUAUGAGAAUGAAUAUGCUAUAAAAUUAUGAGAAGCAUGAUUCCUGCAGCAUAUUAAGGAUGAAUUAAAACUCUUAAUGAGAUCUAUACUCCAAUUGGAGUGGAGUACAUAGGUUACAAGAGUACUCUUGAUAGACUCACCAAUGUGAAUGUAGAAGUGGGGCCCGCUUCCUAUAAACUUUUGGGGCAUAAAUUUCUAAAAUGUUCACAAUACUAGGAUAGACUUGCAUGGCCUUUAAUGCAUGUGCUUUACAGAAUAUACCUUUAAAAAGGUUGUGUGUGGUUUGAUGCUGGAGAUAGAGUUCAAGACUACGAGUCACUCUAGUAAAAUCUGGACCUUACUCAAUAUGUAAAGGUUCAAGUCACAUGACACAUUUGUUUAUGCACAAUCUUAUUGAGACCACAAAAAAAUUCUUGGAAAUCGUUUUUUAAUUUCAAGUGGGCGAUUGUUGGAACUUGGUUGUGGGUGUGAAAUCUAAAUUUUUUUCAAGUCCCACAUAGAAGAGUUUUGAGAGAAAACAACUCCCAAGUCCCACAUUGGAGAGAUGAGGUACUUGAAAAAAGCCCAAGUUAUAAAUAGAAGCCUCAUCCCUUCAUAUUUUCUUGUCCCAAGUUGAAUGCACUUUCAUUCAACUUUUUCUUUCUCCCUCAUAUUUUUCGCUGAUGCAUUUCUGGCAAAAUUCUUCCUCUUUCUUUCUGUGGCACUAAGAAAUGGCACAAACAACCAUAUUGUGAGAAUUUCGAGAACUAACACUAGUAGUCAGUAUUGGGGGAAAAGAAUUGGCACAUGCAACCAUACUGAGGGAAUUUCGAGAACUGAUACUGGUAGUCAGUAUUGGGGGAAAAGAAUUGGCAUGGGUAGCCAUAUUAUGAGCAUUUCAAGAACUGACACUAGUAGUCAGUAUUGUGGGAAAUGAAUUGGCACAAGUAGACAUAUUGUGGGUUUUUGAGAAUUGGCACCGAUAGCCAUAUUGUGGAUAUUUUGAGAAUAGGACUGGUGGGUGUAUUUGAGAUUGGUUCUUACAGUGCAGUAAGAAUUCGAUAACAGAGAUAUGGGCUGUUUUAUCUUGGGGACGGCGUGAUUGAUAGUCUGCUUGCACAUUUUUGGCAGUGCCACGAAACGUCUUAAAGAGAGCGACCUGGUCGUGACUCAACUAGUAAAUAUUAUUUCGUGCCAUUUAUAAUUGUUGCAAACUACGGUAACAACAAAUCUUCUAUUUGUUAUAAUUCUCCUAGUAUAUGUUUAUGAUAUGGUACUCAUAGGAAAUGACAUGGAUGAAAUUAAUCAUGUUAAACAAAUCUUAGACAUGUCAUUCAAAAUAAAAGAUUUAAGUUCCUUAAGAUACUUCUUAUGACUUGAAGUUGCAAGAUCUAAGUUUGGAAUUCAUUCGAAUAUAGAAAGUGGACACUAUCAUUGCUAGAAGACUCUAGUUCUCUUCCUAUUAUGUAUGACAAGACACCAUUUGAUCCAUUCAUUAAACUUCAACUUCACCAAGGUGAUCAUUUUCCUAAUAUUUCUUACUACAAAAGUUUGAAUGGUAGAUUGUUAUACCUUACAAUUUCUAGGCUAAACAUCUCUCAUGUGAAAUUGAAGUGCACCAUUAGAGAUUGAUCUAUGUUUUGAUGAAGACAAACAUGAACACAAGCUUGAAGAUCAUUCAACAUACAACAUGUCGAGGACUCAAGUGGUGACUUGUUAGACUUAGGUUAUAAUUUUAUUAUCUUUUUAGAAGUCUAAGAUGCUUGACAUAGAUAUUGAGUCUAGGUUAGGUAAACGUAGGUGUGAGUCUCACGAGACUUAAUAAAGUAAUUAAUCCACUAAAAUGAGACAUCAUCUAGAAAUAUUUGAUAAUUAGGUUCAUGCAUUUGAAUACAUUGAUUUUGUGCAUUAAAGGUAUUAUAUUUGGAAAUCAUGUAAGGCAUGAGUAUAUAUCAUAUAGGUAGUUCACCAUACAUUAACAAGUUGAUUUUACACUGUUUAAUGGAUUAUGAAUUCUGUUAAUCUAUUAACGUAAUCGAUUAUGAAUAUUGUUAAUCGAUUAACAGAAUCACAUUUUCAACAUAAAACUGAAAAACUGAAAACCGUUAUUUUCAACAACCCGUUAAUCGAUUAAAUGAGUACUUAAUCGAUUAACUGGGACUUUAGACAACUUUCUAUUUUAACUAAAAUCUCAGCAUAUGUGACAUAUGAAUCCAUACAUUUUUUUACAUCAUUCUCUCUUCAUAUUUUCGAGUUACUCACUAUCAUAUCUAGGAGAAAAUAUUGCAUGUUGCAUUAGGAGAAAGAUUAGAUCAUGCUAAGGCUUUAAGUUUCAUAUUCAUAUUGCUUUUCUUUGAAAAGCUUUCUUGCAUCAUUCUUGUGUUUCUUGGAAAGAAAAGAGAUAGUUUUUAAUGAUUGCAUAAUUUCAGAAACCUCAUGCAUAUACAUUCAUAUUAGACUAGGAAGUAUUGUGAGUUCUUGCUUAGGUUUUAGUCUUUGAUCUUUAUUGUAAAAUCCGAGUAUUAAGUAUUCAUUCAUAACUCAAAACAUUGUAAUUCAAGGAUUAGGAAAAUCCUAGAUGCGGUUAGGUAAGAUGUUCUUCACAAAGAUUUGGAGGUCUUGGGAUAAAGAGCGAUACCUUGGCUGAGGCCGAAUCGUGGUAAAAAAGGUUUUCUUGGGAGGCAAUUUUAGGAAAGGUCAAACCAAGGGUGACGAAGUUCUUUGGGUUCCAAGAAAGGAGCAUCCGAGUCUUGUAAUUGGAAGCAUGUAUGUAACUAUAUAUUGUGUUCUAUCAUGAAGAAGAAAAUCUCACAAGAUCAGAAUUGGAGGCAUGAACGUAGUUUUGUAGUGGACCGCAAAAUGAACCAGGAUAAAAUCAUUGCGCAAUCUUUUCUAUCCCUUUCUCUUUUACAUUUCAAGUUGUAAUAUUGCAUGAUAUAACAUGAUAAUUUGUAUAUUGGUUCUGUGCUAUAACAAAUUUAAUUUUGUCUAAAAAUAUCUGUUAUAUCAUUGCCUGAUUUCUCAUAACCUGCCUUGCAAGAGAGUUGUUAAACAAGAUUUUAUGCAUUUUGUUUUUAUUGUGUUUAAUCGAUUAUGAACAAUGCUUAAUCGAUUAACUGGACAUUUUUCAGUAGGAGUGCAAAAACCCAAAAAGCGGAACUUGAGCUCCGCUACACCUAUUUAACCCCCCACUCUAGGUGUAUUCUGUCACUGAUACCUAACAUUAUGAUAUUCAACAUAUAAGUUUAUUCAUGUCUAAACCAAUGAAUUUGCAUUACAAGACUUCCCUUAGAGUUAUCCACUACCUUAAAGAAUCCCAUACUAAAGGCCUUUUCUUUCCUUUUGUAUCUAAUUUCAAGCUUUCACCAUUUACUAAUUCAAAUUAGGCUUGUUGCUUUGAUUGGGGAAAUCCCUCACUAGCUUUUAUAUUUUCCUUAAUUCAUCUCUUAUCUCUUGGUAAACCAAGAAGUAUAAUAUUAUUAGUCAUUCUUCAUAUCAAGCAAAAUAUUGAGAUAUUGACAGUUACUUAUAAAAUUCAAUGACUAAAUUACCUAUUUCUUGAUUUACAAAUACCCUUGCUAAUCUAGGUUUUUUUAUUCUCACAAUAGAUUAACUAUAUACCUAACUCACAAACAUGUUUUUCACGAAAUAAUUAAACCUAUAAAAAUUAAUUAUUGUGCUGUUUGAGAGAAAAUCAAGCAAGAUCUUAUCCAUCCAUCUAUAGAGACUCAAGCCUUUCUGUAUUUCAUUCAAUUGAGAAGCAAUAUUGAAAGCAACCAUUCAAUUUUCUUAUCCUUAAAUGGGCCCCACAGUUUAUUUUAUAACUGUUCACAUUUCCCAUUAAAUUAAACAAUUUUUCUACUUUUCACUUCAAUGGUGUAACUCACAUUUUGUCCUUAACUGAACUCCUUCAUUUGUCUACUCGUUCAUUUAAUCAAGCGUUAUUAAAUAGUUGAAAGUACACAUUUAACAGCGCUCAUUCAAGUGAGCGUUGUUAAAUGUCUACUUUAUACUUUUAAUAGCACUCACUCAAACGAAUGUUGUUAAAUGUCUACUUUUAACAACGUUCACUCAAAUGAGCGAUGUUAAAUGUCUAUUUUCUAAGUUUAACAUCGCUCACUCAAACGAAUGUUGUUAAAUGUCUAUUUUCUACUUUUAACAUCACUCACUCAAGUGAGCGCUGUUAAAUGUCACUUUCUCUACAUAUGAAGAAAAUAGAGUUGUUGGACGUUCUUCCCCCUUUUAUUGUUGGUUAAUAUGUUUCCCCUUUCUUUUUCUUCAUUUUUUGAUUAUUUUAAAGGAUUUAUAGAAAUAAGAACCAUGCUCUAAUUAAAGACUAUUUACGAACAAAAAUAAAUCACUCCCAAUGCCACCAAAAUUUGCGAACAAUCCUUAUUUUAUUAAGGACUACCGCUAGAAAUAAGAACUGUGCUCUAAUUAAGACUAUUUACGAACAAAAAUAAAUCACUCCCAAUGCCACCAAAAUUUGCGAACAAUCCUUAUUUUAUUAAAGACUACCGCUAGAGAUACUCUUAUAAAACCAAGACCAGAUUUACUAUAUCUAAUCAUCACUUCGGUAAUUGUAGUGUCAAUUUGCCGAAACUUUCUUCUCUAUUUGGUAUUAUUUGGACUUUGUUAUGGAUGUAUGGUCAAUAAACAAUUAAGUUGAUUGUUUUUUAUUUUGUCUUUCAUUGCACUGGGAAAUUGACUUAUGACGAAUGAAGGUGCAUUACAAAUUUUUAUGCCCACCUGAAAAAUCUUAAUGAGGCUAACUAUAAAUUUGUUUUGUUGUAUUACGGAAUAUUACCUAAUGUAUAUAUGGCCAUAUGGGUCGAUUUUAUAAAAAUAUGGUCCAGUUGUCUUUACCCCCUAAACUAUCAUUAAUUAAUAAAUUAAAUGUAAUAAUGUACUAUAAAGACUAAAAGAAUAGUGUAUGUCCAACAAAAAAAAAUACCCAUUUUAAUUCUUGUUUAGAUGAAAUAUCUUUUUUUUGUUAUUGAUCGAUCAUCUUUUAAACUUAAGCAUUUAUUAAUUUUGCAAUAAGGCGUUGGUCUAGUGGUGUAAGAUCUCACUGGAUCCCAAAGUUGAUGGUUCGACUCCUAGAAGUGACAUUAGUUGGAAGGGGCAGUCAUGAACCCAAAAUGUAUUAGUUUCACACCCAAAAAGGUGAGAGAAUAAUCUUGGUAGUACCAAUAAAUACUAAUACAAUUGUGUCACAUGUUUUCUUCUACUUGCCUUGUGUACUUUUACUUUUUUAUUACCAUUUUGGUGCAAAUUUUGGAAAUAUUAUGGAAGAGGUGUAUAUUUUAGUGGAUUCGUGUAUGUCAUACACGAGUUCUUUAUUUAUUGUUUUUGUCCAUUACAUAACUUGUGUCUCUCAUUCACGAAUCAUUUGUUUAUUGUUAGAAGCUCAGUGGCUUAUGGGGCUGGUAAAUGAAUUAGGCAUUGAGCAAUGUGGAGUUCCGCUGCAUUGUGACAUUCAGAGUGCUAUCUUCUUGGCAAAGAAACAGUUGUGUCAUGCUAGAGAGUUGGUAGCUUGUGAGCAGAUACUAUUGCAGAAGGUUCACACCUCAGAAAAUGCAGCUGAUGUGUUAACCAAGCUGGUUAUCAUGGACAAGUUCUGGCAUUAUCUGAGCUUGUUGAACAUUCAGUGAUGCUAGACUAUGGAGUAUCGCCAACCCAGUGGCGGGAGAUGGAGAUUUAUGAUAUUCGCCAAGGUGGAGAGUGUUGUGCAAUGACUCAUAUUCUCUAGGUAACAAUAAUACAAGUUGUGGGAUUAGGCUGAUGUAAAAGGGUUGAGGUAGAGAGCUACAUAUUUAGGUUAUGUAAACCUAAUGUAAUAAAGGGAAGAAUAGUCAAACACAAAUUUUUAUUAUAUAAUAAUACAUAGUGGUGGUAUGUUAACGCUCCCAAACACGUACACACAAUUGGCUGAACUUCAUUACCAAAUUCAUUGUGUUAUUCUCUUAUCUUUACUCUCUUACUAUUUGAUUGUUUGCUUGUUCCCAAUAAAUAUAUAUAUGAGCAUAUAUUUAAGUGACUCAUAUAUUUAACUACCAAUACAUACAUAUUUCCUUCCUUGCUUGCAUGUCUUUUUCUCCCUCCUAGUCUCUACCAACCGAAAGCAACCUUCUGACAUGACAAUGAUACCACUCAACGCACACAUGUGAAGUUAUUGACACCAAAUAACUCUAAGAACACAUCAAAUUGAGUAAAUAAUAUCACCGUUUAAUUUUUAUCCACCCUUUUUAUACAUUAUCCAUAACUAUCAAUUUAACACCUUAUUCAUAUUUUCACAUAUUUCAUAUCCAACACACAAUUAAACAAUUUUUCCACCACUAGUAUUUCUUUGUGGAUAGACUAAUACCUCUUAAACCAUAAAAGAUUUGAACAGUAAGUUGUCUAUGUUAGUUAUUUCUUGAUGAUUGGUGAAAUAUUAAUCAUAGAAUCUUGAAUCUCUUGAUUUUCACACAUAGUAUAAAAAAAAGAUAUACAAAGUCAUACUUGAAUCCAUGUUCUCAUAUCUACUCAUUUGAUAUACAUUUUGAGAGAGUUUUGGUAAGAUGGUCUUCCUCAACCAAAUCCUUAAUUCCUUUUGGGACCUUCAUUUUCUCUCUGAUAGGGAGAGGUGAAAACUAUUUGCAAUUUGGUGUCUUGGUGACGAUAACAAUUCCUUAUGUGUUAACUUAUAAGGUUCUCAUUAUCCCGUAUAGGGUUCUCAUUAUCCCGUAUAAGUCAACGUUUGGGUAUCCACUCAUUAAGCUCAUAUCCAUUAUCAGUUUCAGAAGUCUUAUAAGUUGUCAUUAAUUAGAUCACUUGUUUUGUAACCCAAAAAUAAAUAGUCAAUAUAAUUGUAUUAAAUAUAUGAUAUCAAUUAGAAAUUAUGAAUUUCUAACAAUCUUCCUAUUGAGAUUCAUAUUUUUCUUGGAACAAUUAUAUCACAUAUUCUUUAGGUGUACAUCCCUAUGCUAUUUAUAUUUAAACUUCUCCUUAAUAAAAUCUAGUCCAUCUCAUAUAUCAACUAUGAAACCACUGCGGCCUUCAUCACAUUCAAAUGUGACUCGACCAUGAUGAUCAUCAUAUCAAUAUACUAAAUGACAUAGAUCAAAUAUGGAUGAGUGACAUAGAAAUUUCAUGCAAUGUAAUCUUAAACAUGUCUAUUUCCAACUGGUCCUUCUUUAUUCUUUAGUGAGAUCAAUUCAGAGUCCUUCAUUGCAACACAAUAGUUACAAUACACAAGUUCAAAAUAGAACAAUAAACCAUCAACUUUAUUAUGUAUAAAACUAUAUAUGACGUCCAAAGUAAAUCAUAAAACAUAUAGACUCCCAAUGAACUAAGGUAUCCUAAGGAGAAAUGUUCAUAUGAGCAAUAUGCUCAUAAAAGACUUUAUGUACCAAACCCUUAGUCAGUGGAUCAACUAACAUAAAAAUUGUUCAUAUAUGUUCUAUGGAAAUUUGUCUAUUUUGAGCACUUUCUUUAACAAUCAGAAACUUGAUGUCAAUAAAUUUUGAAUUUAUAGAAUUCAUAUUAUUGUUGGAGUAAAGAAACAUGGACUUACUAUCACAAUAAAUUCUAGGUGGUCUUUUAGUACCAUAAACCACGCGUAAGCCAGUGACAAAUUUUUUGUAAACACAUGUCAUGGUCCGAUGUUUCAAAACAAACCAUAAACUCUGCAACCAUUGUUGAAGGAGCUAUGAGCGUCUACUUAGCAGACAUCCAAGAGAUAGCACAUUCAUCCAAGAUAAAUAUAUAUCCAAUGGUGGAGUGUAUGGUGUCUAUACACCCAAAAAAAAGGAGUCAGAGUACCAAAAGAUCUCUAAAUUCUCAGACAUUCGAUAAGUGAACAUGUACUCAUUUGUUCUCUUUAAGUAACACAUAACAUGUUUGACUUCCUUCUAGUGAUGUAUUACAAGAUUGCCCAAAUAUCUUUUCAAAACUCCCAUGACAAACGCUAUGUUAGGACGUGUACAAACUUGAGCAUACAUUAGACUUCAUAGUACAAAUGCAUAAGGAAUCUUUGUAUCUCGUAUUUUUCAAGGUCAUUUUUGGGGCAUUGUUCGAGACUAAAUUUGUCUCCCUUAGCUAUAGGGGUAUCCCCUGGUUUACUAUCUUUCAUGCCAAAUUUAUCUAGAACUUUAUCUAUUUAGCUUUCUUGUGACAACCUUAGGAUACAUUGAGAGCAAUCUCUUAGUAUCUCAAUUCCUAAUACAAAAGAAGCUUCCUUGAGAUCUUUCAUUUCGAAAUUAUUCAUUAGAAAUAUCUUGGUCUAAUGCAAUAGUCCCAUAUCACUGUUAGCAAGCAGUAUAUCAUUGACAUAUAAUACUAGGAAUAUAAAUUUACUCCUACUAAACAUGUGGUACAUGUAAUCAUCAACUUUAUUUGCCUCAAAAUCAUACGAGGUAAUAACUUGAUGAAAUUUGUGAUUCCAUUGGCGAGAAGCUUGUUUAUGGCCAUAGAUGGAUUCCUCUGUUAACCUGAUGUCAUCCUCAUGUUCUUAAAGAAAUACAAUAUAAUGAUCAAGAAUUGCCCUUCUAGAGAUCUCCUUAAUGUUACUUCUACUUCUUGAAGUUGUGGUAUUUGUUCUAUAGGUGCUUGAGGGAGAACCUCAUUGUUGUCUUGUUAUGGAAUAUUGUCACGAACAAUAUUCUGAACAGUGUCUUCUAUUACCAAAUUUAUUCCUUGAAUGGUAAUAGGCACAAGAACUUGUUUAACUACUAGUGACAUGUUCUUCCUCAAAGACAACAUUCCUUAUGUUCUCUUCAUUCCCAAAAUCAAUUUCCUCAAGAAAUCUUGCAUUUCCCGUCUCAAAAAAAAGUCUUGAAGUGGGAUCAUAAAAUUUGUAGCCCCAAGAGCGUUCAACAUAGCCAACAAAAUAGCAGCUAACUAUUCUUGAGUCCAGUUUCCUUUCAUGUGACCUAUAACGUCGCGCCUUAGCUAGUCAACCCCAAAUGUGCAAGUGUUUUAAGCUUUGUUUUUUAUUACUCCAAAACUCAUAUGAGGUUUUGUUAACUCCUUUAUUUGGCACCCUAUUAAGGAUGUAAACUGGUGGUCUUUAAAGCUUUCCUCCAAAGAGACUUUGGCAAUGAAGAAUGGCUAAUCAUACUUCUCACCAUAUCCUUAAGAGUUCGGCUUAAUCACUCAACAACACCCUUCAUGUUAGGUUUGCCUAGAAUAGUGUAUUGCAGAACAAUUCCACAUUCUCGAAGGAAAACACAAAUAACAUUUUCACAACAUCCUUAUUGUUCUUUCUUUUCUUAUUUCGAGAGGUCAUAGCCAAAUGAGAACUUUGUGUCUUAUCUCUCUACAGCCUCACUUUCUCUUGCACAUAGUCCUUCUAAGUGUUAUAACUCAUUUUGAGUUGCCCAAAGUGUACAGGAUCAAAAGCAAGUGCAUGAGCAAGUCAUCAUCAAGCUCUAACUUAAGUGACUUUAGAUUUGAUGCGAGAUUAGAAAUCUCCAUAAUAUACUCCCUUAUGUUCCAUUUGUCUUUAUACUUCAUGGAGAUGAGUUUACUCAAAGGCUACUCGUCUUCACCUUUUCAUUUUUGGCAAAAAAUUGUUCUAUUUCUUCGAUGAACUUCCUUGCACUUUGACCAUCAGAAAUAGAGCCAUGAAACGCUUCUGGAAAAGAGCAUUUCAUGAUCAUUAUGCACAUUAGGUUAGAGCGUUCCCAUUUCUUAAUUUUGACCUCAUCGAGGAUUUCCGUAGUAGAAAUGGAUUUCUCCACUUGAAGUGCUAGAUCUAAAUCCAUACAGCCGAGAAUAAUUUCUACGACUUCCUUAUAGACCUUAAAGUUUUUCCCAUUUAACAAUGAGAUGUUCUUAAUUUGAGCAUAAAAUUUGAAGCACUAGUAAAAGAACAAAGCAAAUUGCAAUCAUCAUUGCAAUUAAACUCACAUUCAACUUUAAUACUUAAAUUCAAAUGAUGAUGGGCCAUAUCACGAGUUACCUAGCACAACAUUAAUAUUCAGUCUUUGUACAAAAAUAUUAACUUAUAAGUGGUGCACUCAAUGUAGUAAUCAAACAUUGAUAAUCAGUAUUGUCAAAUAAUAAGCCUUUCUUUGGACUGACUUACUAUUCACAUGGAAAGUCAUAUGAUUAUCACAUAUUUAUUGCUACAAGUGUGUUUGUAAUUUGUGCCAAAUAAUAAUCUUCCUUUGGGCCGAUCACUAUUCGCAUAAAAUAUAGACAUACAAUUGGUUUGAUAUUUCAUAUCAAUCACUAAUGAUACUCUUGUUUAUAACGGUCAAACAUUGAUCAAAAUACAUGUCAAAUAAUAAACUAUUUUUUGGACUGAUUUAUCAUUUACAUAUUUAACUUUAUAAUAAUCACAUGUUUACCAUCACAUGUGUGUAUACAAUCCGGCCAAAUAAUAAUCUUCAUUUGUGUCGAUUAAUACUCGCAUGGAUACAUAUAUGUACUAAUAUCUGACAUUUAUUAUGAACAACUCACAUAAAAUAUGUCACUUUGGCGACUUCUUGUUUAACAGGUUCAGUUAUAAUGUCAAACAAUUUUAUUUUCCAAAAGAAAAAACCAUUUAGGUGAGUUUGAUUCAACAUAACCUUAAUCCAAUGCAUAUAUUAUUUAUAUUCACAUAUAAAUACAUAUAUUUAUUAUAGUCUAUUGGUAGCAUUACAUCAUUCUCAUCACAAGAAUGUGCGUUUCGAAUUCUAGUGACGAUCCUUUUGAAUCUUACAAAAAAAAAUAUUAGCAUUUUAUACCUAACAGGACACACUGUUCAAAUGGAAACAAUGCUUCAACAAUAACAACUCCUUAAUAAUGGAGUCAGCCACCAACCAAUGCAACAAACCAUGAAGUGUUGUAAUCAUUUAAACAAACAAGUUAAGUAAUAUAUAUAAAACAAGACAUAUUCACAUAAUAGACUCAUCACAUGAUACCUAGGACAACAUUAAUUUCUAGUCUUUGGACAGAGAAAUUAAUUUGUUGGUAGUAUUCUCAACGUAAUUUGUUGCUAGGAGGGAGGUAUGGCGAUGAACAUCGGAGGUUGAGAGCAUCGGGACGUAGGGGUCUGUAUGGUGGAGGAAGGAAACACGACGGUGGUUUAUGGUGGAGUGGGUUCUUGACAAUGGGAGGCAACGAAUGUAUGGCCAUCUCCUCUCUUCUCUUCUUCAUUUUCGUUUUCUUACUCGUUAGAUCGAUUGGUUAUAGUAAUGGUGGUAUUAGGUUGUUUUUGGGGUUUUCGUGUGAAUGAAACGAAGGAGAGUGAAGACGACGUGGUGAGGUGGUUCAUGGUGGUUUCCAAUUUGGGCAUUUAUUCUCACGGUUUUAUUCUCACGGUUUUAUUCUCACAGAGUCUCCUUAAAAUAGAGGGAGGAAACCAACAGGGUCAGCGUAUGGUGACGUUAAUUUCGCACGAUUGGUUAUUGGCAAAAGAUUUUGGUAAAGAACCCUAUCCUCUUUCAAUCUAACUUUACUUAUUUGACAUAGUAUGAAGUAAUUAUUUAUAUGAAAAAAAACUAAUUGGUAUGGAUGUUUGUCCAGAAACAAAUUGCAUUUCAAAGCUUUAAAGGAAUUAUUGAACAUUAGUUACUUUUGUCCUUGGCCAAACGUCUGUGUAUGCAUUUUUAUAUAAUCAAUUGAAUGAGAAUGGGCUGUAUAUAGCUUUGUGUAAUCAAGAUGAAUGUUUAUAAUUUAGCAUAUAAAUUCCAAACACAGAUUAGCAACCAAAUGAAAGGAAUAUGCUUGUUACAUUAUAACCUUGUUGUAAUUGCCUUUUUCUUUGCAUUCUUGAUCAACAACCAAUCCUUUUUUGUGUAUAUGUGUGACACGUUUCCCAAACAGUCUUAGGUCACUCUAUGAUAAUAGUUUUCGACUCCCUUUGUAUGAUGUAUAUUUCGAAUGCCUCUUGAAUGUGCGUGUAGCAAUCUGGGUGUGUAUGAGGUAUGUUCGUGUAUACUCAGGUGUGAUGUGCAUGUGUAUUCUGAAUUGCGGGGUUCUUUCUUACUGUUUCUGAAUUCUCUGCAGUAUAUGUCAUGCCUAAUAACAAAAAUGUAUAUUUGUGUCGAAUAGUCUUGUUGUACUUUUUGUCAUUGUGUAGCGUGUGUGCGUGCUACCUUUCAUAGUUGAGUAUGGGUUAAUACAAAAACCCUUUAAAUUACUAACUUAAAUUUAGUAAUAAUAUGCCAUACUUUUUGCUUUGUGAUUAUAUCACUCUGAAACUGCUCAAUAAUUAUACUCAUUCAUGCUUAUUAUGAUUAUUAGUGCAUUUGUAACUUACCUUAUAAAAUUAUGUUCAUUAGUGUGCCUUUGUAACAGUUCUUCAGUUAUGGAUGAUGAAUCAAUCAAAAAAACCUUAGCACUAGAUCUGCAACAAGUUGAGCAAAAGAUGAAGACUUAUCCUCUAGCACUGUUGUAUGAGUAUCAUACUCCUGAAUAAGUCGUUGAUCAAGAAGCAAAACCAUAUUACUGUCAAUAACAUAUGUUAUUCUAUGUACAAAUGUAAUGACAGUAGAGUUAGUGAAAUGUUGCUUAAGAGUUUGUUGGAUCAAAUUAUAAUGAAAUUUCUUUUCUUGAUGUGGUGUACCCAGAACAUAAGGUGUUGCAAUUUUGAGAUACUAGGCACAUUAUCAUGUGAAGGACUAUUAAUUUUGUUGUUGGGAUUUGUGACAUCUAGCUGAACCUGGUUAUUAUUUUUAUUGGCUUCAUUAAUUUGUUAUAGGAAAAGUAUCAUUCUCAGGACUUGUUAAACAAAUGACACAUCUUCUUUAAAGAAGAUAAAUGAGAUAGACGACCAAAGGUCAUAUGCACCGUGUAACUGUAUAUGAGCAAAAUUCCUUAAUCAAUAUCUUUAACGGUGUAACAAUCUCAUGUAAAUGCAAAGUCGUUAAGUUUUGAAUUGAAAUGGUAAGAAAUUAAGAUAUUUCUAAUCAUUGAUCAUGAACUAGACAUUCACAGGAAAUACAUUUGGUUCUGAAAUGUAUCAUAAAUAUUUUCAUUCCAAAUUUUGUUGAUUUAAAACUUUUAAUAUUUUUGUAAAGUGACCGGACAAAAUUGAGUGUUCACAGUUACCUCUCUUUAUUUGUUGCUCACUUGAUAGCAAACAAACUGAAGUUAGUAUGCUAUCAUAGUAAGUAACUAGUAAAGAAAUGAACAAAUUUUGUCAAGGCCGAGAUAAUAAUCACGGCGCAACACUUAGAGUGAGAACUCGGGUUGGGUAUUGCCGGAACUCCAUAAAAUAAAAAGGUUUAAGCGAGAAAGCGGGUCGGGUGCUGUCGGAACUCCAUAAAAUAAAAAUAGGUAGGUGCGAGGAAGCAUGACAUAUACUACCGAAAAUCCAAAAUUCACAUCAGGCUCGGGGUCCUGCAAAGAUUGGUUGGAAGCACAUCAGGCUCGGGGUCCUGAAACGCAAAGAUUUUAAAAUGGGAACGCAUGUGGGGUACAGUCGGAACUCGGAAAUUCACAUCAGGCUCGGGGUCCUGAAAAGACUGGUUGAAUAGCACCUCAAGCUCGGGGUCCUGGAAAGCAAAGAUUUUAAAACGAGAACGCAUGUCGGGUACUGCCGAAACUCGAAAAUUUCACAUCAGGCUCAAGGUCCUGGAAAGUUGGUUUGAUAGCACAUCAUUCUCGGGGUCGUGGAAAGCAAAGAUUUUAAAACGAGAACGCAUGUCAAGUACUGCCGGAACUUGGAAAUUUCACAUCAGGCUCGAGUCCUGGAAAGUUUGGUUUGAUAGCACAUCAGGCUUAGGGUCUUGGAAAGAAAAAGUUUUAAUACGAGAACGCAUGUCGGAUACUGUCGGAACUCAGAAACUCACAUCAGGCUCAAAGUCCUAGAAAGAUUGGUUUGAUAGCACAUUAGGCUCGGGGUUCUGGAAAGCAAAAGUUUUAAUCGAGAACACAAGUCAGGUACUCCUAGAACUCGGAAACUCACAUCAAGCUCGGGGUCCUAGAAAGAUUGGUUUGAUAGCACAUCAGGCUCGGGGUCUUGGAAAGCAAAAGUUUUAAUACGAGAACGCAGGUCGGGUAUUGCCGGAACUCAGAAAUUCACAUCAGGCUCGGGGUCCUGGAAAGUUUGGUUGAAAGCAUAUCAGGCUCGGGGUCCUGGAAAGUUUGGUUGAAAGCACAUCAAGCUCGGGGUCCUGGAAAGCAAAGAUUUUAACACAUAGGGUAGUGAUAUGUAAUGCUUGAGAAUAUCUCGUGUAUUAUGUUGAGAAUGAUGUGAGUCAUGUCAUGUAUGAGUAAUGAAUAAAUGUGUAGAUCUCUUGGUUUAUGAUAUCGUAAUUUUCUAAAAAUCAAACGAACUUCUUUUUAUGGACUAGACUGAAAUGCGACUCAUGUUGGACAUUGUUAAAAGAGACUAUCUGUCAGCGCCUCGCCAUCCAAUAUGCCCUAGUUUCAUGUUAAGAAUUUAUUGGAAGAGUUGAAUCGUCCAAUAAAUUGCCCUAAUAUCUUUGUCAUAGACUAGAUGAGAAUCUUUCUAUACAGAGGUUAUGACUCUCACCUCAAAAAAAACGAUCUCAUUUUCAUUGGUUGAGGAUGAGCAAUAAAUUGCCCCAAUUUACACUUUGACCGAUGAACGUUUUUUAUUUAACUUGUUUUUUAUUUUCAAUCCUCGGGUUAGAUUGGGAAAUGACGUAGGUAGAGUGUAUUUAUUUAUUAGAAAAAAUAUCCUUUCUGGUUGAACCGGUCAGUACGAAAUUUUUUUAUUUUAUACAUAUACAAUCUAGAAUUCAUCACCUUGUAUAUAUUGAGAAUUAAAAUAUACAUGUAUAUAUAUGUAACUGUUUCCAACUUGAGGUUGUUGUGAUGUUUGAAAUUACUGAUUAAAGUUAAUACAUAUAUACCUUAUACAUAUACUUUAACAAAUUGCAAAAUUGACAAAAGUCAAUGUCCAACACUAAGGCAUUAGUGCACAUAUAAUAUACAUAUUGCAUAAUAGAGUCAUCAAAGUUAAUGCAAUGUUCAUGUAUAGAUCUGAAUACAUACUUCAACACAUGUUGCAAAGACUAAUAAUACAAAUUACUCAUAAUUCAAAUAAGCGGAAGUGAAUAAAAGUUAUCUCAUUAUUCCUAAAUAUCCUAUUUUCAUAACUAAUAGCGGAAGCAUAAAAAUCCCCAAAUUUAAAAAUUAGGGCUCAUAAAUAAAUUGGGGAGAAAACAAAAUUAAUGGAGAAUCAUAAAAUUCAGAACCUAAAACUCUGACACCACUUGUUAAAUAUUUCCUAAUGAUCGGUGAAAUACCAAUCCUAGGAUCUUGGAUCACAUGAUUCUCACACAUAAUAUAAAACAAUGAUACAAAGUCAUACAUGAAUCCAUGUUCUUAGAUCUACUCAUUUGAUAUACAUUUUGAGAGAGUUUUGGUAUGAUGGUCUUCAUCAACCAAAUCUUUAAUUCCUUUUGGGACCUUCGUUUUCUCUCUGAUAGGGAGAGGCGAAAACUAUUUGUGAUUUUGUAUCUUUGGAACCUUAAUCGUUCCUUGUGUAUUAACUUAUAGGGUUCUCAUUAUCUCAUAUAGGUCAACGUUUGGGUAUCAACUCAUUAAGCUCAUAUUCGUUAUCAAUUUCAGAAGUCUUAUAGAUUAUCAUUAAUUAGAUCACUUGUUUUGUAACACCAAAAUAAAUAGUCAAUAUAAUUGUAUUAAAUAUAUUAUGUCCACCUUAAUUAUAAAUUAUGAAUUUCUAACUAUCUAUACCAAUAAAUCUUUUUCCUAUAUGUGUAGAGAUCCAACUAUUCAUAUUAUGCUUACUGAAUUUAUUCACUUUUAUUAAUUAAGUUAAGUCUAGUUGGCAACAUCAUAUUAUUUAGCUGACUAUCUUCCCGCCUAAUCGAUGAAGAGUUUAAUUUCCUAAUAUAUGGUAGAUUCGUAAAGGGAGCUACUUCUACAGAAAUCUUAUAUAGGAAAAACCCAUAUCAAAAGUGUUAUUAUUCUAAUAAUAAGAAAAUGUUUGAUCGACUAGGCUUAAGUUACCAAAUCUCAUAUCAACACGUGUUACAAUUUUCCCCAAUAUAAGUCAAGUUUAGAAGAUAACCUAGUAAAUCAUUAAGGUACAAAUGAUAUAAUAUUUUUACUUCUAAAAAUGUUGAAACUUUCUUUGUUGGAGGCCAAUUGUGAGGAUUUUUUGGUAUGAAAUAAAAAAAAAUUCAAAAAUCUCACAUAUGAAGAAUUUUGAAAAAAAAUCCAUAAGUCCCACAUAGGAUGGAGGAUUAAUUUGUCCCAAAUUGAGUUCUCUAUUCCUCAACUUAUUUUUUCUCCUUUAUAAUCUUUAUCAACGCAUUUCCGACGAACUUCUCUCUAUUUUUGUGGUACUAGAAUUGACAUAUGUAACUAAAUUGUGAUAAUUUCGAGAACUGAUACUGUUAGUGAAAUUAUGUGAAAACAAAAUUGGUAUGGGUAGCCACUGUGAGCAUUUCUAGAAUUGAGACUGAUAGUUAUAUUGUGGUGGGACAUAUUCGACAUCAGUUCUAGGAUAAAAUAAGGAACUUGACUGUUUAUACCAGAGACGGUGUGGUUGCUUACAAAUUUUGGGUAGUGUAACAAAAUGUCUUAAAAAGAGCGACUUGAUCCUAACUCACCCAAUAAGUAAGAAAAAAUAAUUUGUGUUCAUUUUAUACCAUCCUACUUAUAUAUAGUUAUUAUUAAGAUGUGGCUCUUAUUUAUAGUACAUCUAAGCUUUCUUUGUUAAGUCUUGGAUGCUUGCUCACCAAGUCUCUAACUUGCUCACCAAGUCUCUAAACUUGCUCACCAAGUCUCUAAACUUGCUCACCAAGUUUUCUAAUCUUGCUCUCCAAGUUUCAAAGUCCCUUCUACACCUUUUGCUUAUAAAAUGCAUUACAUGGAGAGCUUUGUUACAUCACAAAAAUUCAACAACUACAUUACUUACAAACUAGAGUGUUUGUGUUUAUUGUAUGAGUGAUUUUGUGGUAAGAAUUCUUAUUCUAUUUGAGAGAAUAUUUGUGAGACAAAAUAUUGUCAUUUGUCCUCAUCAUUGUAAGAUGAUUUAUUGUACUUUCCCCUUUUUACAUAGUGGAACUUUGCUCGUGAUCGUUCAUGGUUUUUACCUCUCAUAAUGAGGGGGGUUUUCCACGUCAAAUCUUGUGUGUUAUUUUCUUGCUCCUUUACUUGCUUCUCUUUAGUUCAUAAUUGAUCUGAUCAUGUGCUUCUCCUUAGCACUUUAUCCCUAACAAGUGGUAUCAGAGCUCUUACUCCAUUAACAGUUUCAAAAUGUCUAAAUUUGACACUGAGAAGUUUGAUGGCAAGAAUAGUUUUUCAAAAUGUCUAAAUUUGAAAAUCUCAACAAUCCCCUGAAGCUGCUAAUAUUGAAGCUGAUUCUAAAGGUGAUAUUAUUUUAUUUGUUGUCUCUUCUAAUAAUAUGAGUAAAUUAGAAUGGAUUCUUGAUUCAGGAUGUACUUUUCAUAUGUGUCCUUAUAAGGACUUAUUUACCACUUUUGAACAUGUUGAUAGUGAUUUUGUUUUGAUGGGAAAUGAUACCUAAUGCAAGGUUGCGGGAAUAGGUAGAGUUCAAAUCAAGACUCAUGAUGGUGUUGUCCGAACUUUGGCUAAUGUCUGCUAUAUUCCAGAGUUCAAGCGGAACUUGAUUUCUCUUGGCACCCUAGAGUCUCUCGGGUGCAGAUAUUCAACUGAAGUGGAGUUCUAAAAGUAUUAAUAGGUGCUCUGGUAUUAUUAAAAGUUAACCAAAUUGGUAGUUUAUAUGUCUUGCAAGGAUCUGUUGUGACAAGUUCAGCAGUUGUAUCUUCUUCUAUCCCUAAUAACAACGUCACCAAAUUAUGGCACAUGCGUCUGGGCCAUAUGAGCGAAAAUGGCAUGCAUCUUCUGAGCAAGCAAAGUCGUCUUGGUAAACAUGGCAUCGGUAAGUUGGAGUUUUGCAAAUAUUGUGUUUUUGGGAAACAAAAAAAAUGUUAGUUUCUCCAUUGCAACUCAUUGUACCAAAGCUAUUCUUGAUUAUAUUCAUUCUGACCUUUGGGGGACUUCUAAAGUCUUUUCUCAUGAGGAUGCCGCUAUAUGAUGACCAUCAUUGAUGAUUUUUCUCGCAAGGUUUGGGUUUAUUUUCUGCGGCAUAAAAAUGAGACCUUCUCCACUUUCAAGAAGUGGAAAACUCUUAUUGAAACCCAAACAUGGAAGAAAGUGAAGAAGCUUAGAACAGACAAUGGAUUAGAGUUUUGCAAUGGUGACUUUAAUGAGUUAUGCACAAGUAAUGGUAUUGCAAGAUAGAAAAUGAUUCCAAGGAAUCCCCAACAAAAUGGUGUUGUAAAAUGGAUGAACAAGACUUUACUUGAGAGAGUUCGUUGUAUGCUCUCAAAUGCUAGGUUAUGGCAUCAGCGUGAAUGUUAGGCCAAAGUAGCAUCCACUUCUUGUUACUUGGUCAACUGUUCUCCACAUUCAGCACUUGACUUCAAAAUCCCAGAAGAAAUUUGGCCAGGUAAUCUUGUUAAUUAUUCUAAUUUAAGAAUUUUUGGAUGUCUGCUUAUGCAAAGGUUAAUGAUGGUAAAUUAGCUCCUAAAGAUGUUGAGUGCAUAUGUCUUGGUUAUGCAUUUGAGUGUAAAGGAUAUAACUUAUGGUGUUCUGAUUCAAAGUCACGAAAGUUAACUCUUAGUAGAGAUGUGACUUUUAAUAAGGAUGCAUUAUUAUCUUCUGAAAAACAAUAUGUUGUGUCUUCUUCUCCUAGUACAGGUAAUUUACAGGGUACUAGCGAGAAGGUGGAGUUGAUAGUGAAGCCUGUAGCUCCUAUGUUGAUGUUCCAUCUUCCUCUACAAAUCAAUCUAGCAUUGAUGAUCGUUAUGCUGAUAAUGAUGACAGUACCACUUCUCCUCUUCAUCGGUAGGAAGAUGAUUAUUGUAUUGCCCGAGACAAAACGAGAAGACUAACUAAAAGGCCAUCUAUAUACGAUGAUGGUAACAAUUUAAUUGCUAAAUGCAUUGUUAGUUGCACAAGAGGUAAAUGAUGGUGUUAAACCUAUCAGCUAUAUAGAAGUUGUUUCUUGUGUUGAUUCUUCACCGUGGCUAGUUUCUAUGAAUGAAGAAAUUGAAAGUCUUCAUAAGAAUGGUACUUGGGAUUUGAUAGAGCUUCCCAAAGGCAAACGGUCAUUGAGAUGUGAAUGGGUCUAUAAGAAGAAAGAUGGCAUUCCCAGUUUUGAAGAUCUGAGAUGCAAAGCACGAGUAGUUGUUAAAGGCUUUAAUCAAAAGGAAGGUAUUGACAUUAAUGAGAUAUUCUCACUCGUUGUUCGUCAUACUUUCAUUCGUGUUUUUUUGCUUUUGUUGUUUUAUUUGAUUUGGAGUUGGAGCAACUUGAUGUAAAGACAACUUUUCUACUGGAGAGCUGGAAGAAAACUUUUACAUGGAACAUCCUGAGAGAUUUAUUGUUCCUGAUAAGGAGCAUCUUGUCUAUUGAUUGAAGAAAUCUUUAUAUGGCCUUAAACAAGCUCCCGGAUAAUGGUACAAGAGAAUUGAUUCUUUCUUGAUUGGGCAAUGUUAUUAUAGGAGUCAAUUUCAUGACUAUAUUUAUUUCCAAAAAUUUCCAGAUGGAUCUUUCAAAUACUUGUUACUUUAUGUUGAUGAUAUAGUAAUUGCUUCACGUGUCAAGCCUUUAAUUAGGAAAUUGAAAACCUAACUCAAUAAUGAGUUUGAGAUGAAGGAAUUAGGUGCAGACAAGAAAAUCCUUGAUAUGGAGAUUCGCAGGGACCGUCAAGCUAGUAAGUUGUUCUUAUCUCAACAGAAGUAUAUUGAAAGAGUGCUUGAAAGGUUUAAUAUGAAUGAUUGCAAACAUGUUUCUACUCCACUUGCUUCACAUUUCAAGUUAUCCUCAAAUCUUUGCCCACACACAGAGAGGAAGAGAUGGAGCAUAUGUCGCAUAUUCCUUAUGCUAGUGCAGUUGGUAGUCUUAUGUAUGCUAUGGUGUACAUUAGACUUGAUUUAGCAUAUGAUGUUAACAUGGUGAGUCGAUAUAUGCAUAAUCCUGGAAAUGAUCAUCGGAGUGUUGUGAAAUGGAUUUUUCGAUAUCUAAAAGGUAUUUCUGACAUUGGUGUGGUAUUUGAUAGAAGGAAGGCUACAACCGAUGAUAUUGUAGGUUAUGUUGAUUCAGAUUAUGGUGGUGAUAUUGACUGAAGGAGAUCUCUUUCUGGUUACACCUUUACUCUCUAUAAUAAUGUUAUUAGUUGGAAAGCUACUCUUCAGUUCAUUGUUGUAUUGUCUACGAUUGAAGCAGAAUACAUUUCAGUAAUAGAGGGUGUGAAGGAGGAUAUUUGGCUCCUAGGUUUGGUACAUGAACUUGGUCUACCACAGGGUGUUCUUACAGUGUUUUGUGAUAGUCAAAGUGCUAUUCAUUUAACCAAGAAUAGUCGUUAUCAUGACAAGACCAAACACAUUGAUGAAAAUGUCACUUUAUUUUAGAUGUUGUUACUAUUGCUGAAAUUAUAGUGGAAAAGAUUCACACAUCAAAGAAUCCAACAUAUAUGCUUACCAAGCUUCUUCCAAAUACCAAGUUUUAGUGUUGGUCUAUACAUCACUUGAGCACCCUUCGGGGCUUUAUUUGGCGAUGAGCAACAUAUUGAAUUCGAGCCAAGGUGGAGAUUGUUGAGAUAUGGCUCUCAUUUAUAGCACAUCUAAGCUUCCUUCAUAAGCUUAUUAAAGGCUUCUAUGUCAAGCAUUGGAUGCUUGCUCACCAAGUCUCUAAACUUACUCACCAAGUUUUCUAAUCUUGCUCUCCAAGUUCAAAGUUUCAUCUACACUUUUUGCCUAUAAAAGGCAUCACAUGGAUAGUUUUGGUAUAUCACAAAAAAUUCAACAACUAUAUUACUUACAUGCUAGAUUGUUUGUACUUAUCGUGUGAGUGAUUUUGUGGUGAGAAUUCUUGUUCCAUUUUAAAUAAUAUUUGUGAGACAAAAUAUUAUCACUUGUCCUUAUCAUUGUAAGAGAAUUUAUUGUAUUCUUCUUUUUUACAUAGUGUUAUUUUCUUGAUUCUCUUUGAGUUCAAUUGAUCCGAUCUUGUGCUUUCGCUUAGCGCUCUAUCCCUAAUCAUUAUAAAGCCGGACGUUACUACCGUUCAGCAUAGUAACUGAAACCAUUAACUAACAAACCAAUUGCAGUGUUCACCAAACAGGAAAAGGCAAGCCCAUGUCGAAAGUGGUUUGUGUGACUGGAGCCAGCGGCGCCAUUGGGUCAUGGCUUGUACGCCUCCUCCUCGAGCGUGGCUACACCGUCCACGCCACCAUCCAAGAUCUCAGUUAAGCAAUAUUCUACACCAUUCUUCUCUUCCUCACAUAUACUCAUAAACAUCACAAAAACAAUUAAUUAACUUUCAUACCCCAAAUAAACAACAAAAUUCAGGAACUAGUUUAUUUUAUAACUAUUCUUUUUUUAUCAGAUAUAUUUAUCAGUAUUUAGUGAUCUAAAUAGACAGUUAUAUUAAUUAUUUGAAUAGCAUAAGCAUUACUGACUUAUAUAGUUAAUUUGGAGCAAUAUAAAUACAUUGGUUGGUUGGUUAAUUUUGUAGAAAUAAUUAAUGUUGUGAAAUUAACUUGCAGAGGAUGAGAAAGAGACCAAGCAUUUGGAGGCAAUGGAAGGAGCUAAGACUCGUCUUCGCUUUUUCCAGAUGGAUCUUCUUGACAGCGACUCCAUCGUCGCUGCCGUAAAGGGUUGCGCCGGAGUUUUCCACCUUGCAUGUCCUAUCAUCACUAGUCAAGUCAAAGAUCCUGAGGUUUGAAAGAAAUAACUACUUAAAAACACUCUAAUUACCAUAUUCAAAUAGCAUACCACAUAUCACUUUAUUUAUUUAAUAAUAUAAAAAGAUAGAGCCACCACUAAUUAUGUAACUAUGCUUAUUACACAAGUAUAAUUGGUCCAAAAUAUUAAUAAUUGUUUUGUUGAUAAGUUAUUGGGCAUUUGUGUGAAUUGAUAAUGUAGAAGGAGAUGUUGGAACCGGCCAUUAAAGGGACAAUUAAUGUGCUGAAAGCAGCGAAGGAAGCAGGGGUAGAGCGUGUGGUGGCGACAUCAUC
This 31484-nucleotide long non-coding RNA is filed under the name Lupinus angustifolius (narrow-leaved blue lupine). RNAcentral's name for it is "long non-coding RNA (LANG_LNC000566)". Lineage: Eukaryota; Viridiplantae; Streptophyta; Magnoliopsida; Fabales; Fabaceae. The record is from RNAcentral.